Molecule: ribosomal RNA, 460 nt
Filed under: uncultured bacterium
Lineage: Bacteria
Description: partial 16S ribosomal RNA
Rfam family: Bacterial small subunit ribosomal RNA
Source: RNAcentral
CCUACGGGUGGCAGCAGUGAGGAAUAUUGGUCAAUGGGCGUAAGCCUGAACCAGCCAAGUCGCGUGAGGGAUGAAGGUUCUAUGGAUCGUAAACCUCUUUUAUAAGGGAAUAAAGUGCGGGACGUGUCCCGUUUUGUAUGUACCUUAUGAAUAAGGAUCGGCUAACUCCGUGCCAGCAGCCGCGGUAAUACGGAGGAUCCGAGCGUUAUCCGGAUUUAUUGGGUUUAAAGGGUGCGUAGGCGGCCUUUUAAGUCAGUGGGGAAAGUCUGUGGCUCAACCAUAGAAUUGCCGUUGAUACUGGGAGUCUUGAGUAUGUUUGAGGUAGGCGGAAUGCGUGGUGUAGCGGUGAAAUGCUUAGAUAUCACGCAGAACCCCGAUUGCGAAGGCAGCUUGCCAAGCUAUGACUGACGCUGAUGCACGAAAGCGUGGGGAUCAAACAGGAUUAGAUACCCGUGUAGUC